RNAcentral lists this ribosomal RNA (363 nucleotides) under Triticum aestivum (bread wheat). Its description in RNAcentral is "partial small subunit ribosomal RNA". Lineage: Eukaryota; Viridiplantae; Streptophyta; Magnoliopsida; Poales; Poaceae. The record is from RNAcentral.
AUGGACCAUUUGUUUUGUCUUGCUUGCAAAGCUGAACAGGAAAUAAAACAACAUGCUGCCCACAAGGAGAACAAGCGCGAUGUGCACAUUCCAAGAGUUGAUACGGUUGUCCCUUCAACUACUAGGUAUACUUUGACAACCACAUUCGUUGUUGUGAGGACUGCAUCACCUCCAUCAUGUGACACAUCACCAUCGAGAGUGCCUACAUCAUCUGAGUUGAUCAUAAGAGGUAAUGACAAAGGGCCUAGAACGGACAAGAAGGAUGAACAUUGGAGCAUGGUCAAGCACAAAGAAGAAGGUGCGUGCAAAGAGAACAAGAACGGAGGUUCAAGUGGAGAUUUUCGAACUUUAAAGCCACCAUGA